AACGAACGCUGGCGGCGUGCCUAACACAUGCAAGUCGAACGAGAAAGUAGCAAUACGAGUACAGUGGCGGACGGGUGAGUAAUACGUAGGUAAUCUACCUUACUGUGUGGAAUAACUAAGGGAAACUUUAGCUAAUACCGCAUACGGUUUCAGAUCUCAUGAUUUGAAAAGAAAGGGGGGUCGCAAGAUCUCUCGCAGUUUGAUGAGCCUGCGUCCGAUUAGCUAGUUGGUAAGGUAAUGGCUUACCAAGGCGACGAUCGGUAGCUGAUUUGAGAGAAUGAUCAGCCACACUGGAACUGACACACGGUCCAGACUCCUACGGGAGGCAGCAGUGGGGAAUAUUGCGCAAUGGGGGAAACCCUGACGCAGCGACGCCGCGUGGGUGAUGAAGGCCUUCGGGUUGUAAAGCCCUGUCGGCUGGGAACAAGUUAGACGUGCUCAUACCACGUUUGAUUGAGUGUACCAGCAAAGGAAGCACCGGCUAACCCUGUG
RNAcentral lists this ribosomal RNA (492 nucleotides) under uncultured organism. RNAcentral describes it as "bacterial SSU rRNA". It matches the Rfam family "Bacterial small subunit ribosomal RNA", at positions 29 to 507 of the family's 1533-position model. The record is from RNAcentral.